RNAcentral lists this ribosomal RNA (388 nucleotides) under uncultured bacterium. RNAcentral's name for it is "bacterial SSU rRNA". It matches the Rfam family "Bacterial small subunit ribosomal RNA", at positions 28 to 417 of the family's 1533-position model. The record is from RNAcentral.
GACGAACGCUGGCGGCGUGCUUAACACAUGCAAGUCGAGCGGUAAGGCCCUUUCGGGGGUACACGAGCGGCGAACGGGUGAGUAACACGUGGGUGACCUGCCCUCAGCUCUGGGAUAAGCCUGGGAAACCGGGUCUAAUACCGGAUAUGACUCCAUGACGCAUGUUGUGGGGUGGAAAGCCUUGUGCGGCUGAGGAUGGGCCCGCGGCCUAUCAGCUUGUUGGUGGGGUGANGGCCUACCAAGGCGACGACGGGUAGCCGGCCUGAGAGGACGACCGGCCACACUGGGACUGAGACACGGCCCAGACUCCUACGGGAGGCAGCAGUGGGGAAUCUUGCGCAAUGGGCGAAAGCCUGACGCAGCGACGCCGCGUGAGGGAUGACGGCCU